UCUUUCUCCUUUCUUUCUUUAUGAGAAGGAUGUUGUGUUAACUUCUAUACUAGAAACAUUUGGCAUCCUUAAUUUCUUUGUUCCUAUAGGGGCAGCAGGUUUCAGCAGUGCAUCCGGCUCUUGGUAAUGAGAGCCGUCUUCGUGAAACCAGACUAAUGGACUGGUUUGGAAUAGGUUUCAUGGCUUGGAUUUGGAUAAUAUAUAUAAUACUCAAACCUUUGCAAGAUGAGAUCUGGCCUUUAAUGAAGAAAGGUUCCUGGGGAGCCAUGCUUUUUGCUCCCUUGGCCGCGUCUCUCUGCUUAAUUCUUCUGCCCAACAAGCAGAGGUUCUGGCUCAUAUAUUUAAGUUCAAUUUGCAUUUCCCAUAAUACACAAUGAACGAAGUUUACUAACAGAAGUAAACAUUUGU
This 408-nucleotide long non-coding RNA is filed under the name Phoenix dactylifera (date palm). RNAcentral describes it as "long non-coding RNA (PDAC_LNC004507)". Lineage: Eukaryota; Viridiplantae; Streptophyta; Magnoliopsida; Arecales; Arecaceae. The record is from RNAcentral.